RNAcentral lists this ribosomal RNA (253 nucleotides) under uncultured bacterium. Its description in RNAcentral is "partial 16S ribosomal RNA". It matches the Rfam family "Bacterial small subunit ribosomal RNA", at positions 524 to 776 of the family's 1533-position model. The record is from RNAcentral.
UACGUAGGGUGCAAGCGUUAAUCGGAAUUACUGGGCGUAAAGCGUGCGCAGGCGGUUAUGUAAGACAGUUGUGAAAUCCCCGGGCUCAACCUGGGACCUGCAUUUGUGACUGCAUCGCUAGAGUACGGUAGAGGGGGAUGGAAUUCCGCGUGUAGCAGUGAAAUGCGUAGAUAUGCGGAGGAACACCGAUGGCGAAGGCAAUCCCCUGGACCUGUACUGACGCUCAUGCACGAAAGCGUGGGGAGCAAACAGG